AUAAAACAGGGUGUCACACCCCGGUCUACAUCUUGGCAGAGACACAUAUACGUAUGUUGUAUACCUGGUUCCUAUUUUGAACAUCUACGUGUACUUUUUGUCUUUUUGACAUCCAUCAGCUAACUUCGUUGAUUUAAGGUAGACCAGAAAAGCCACAUCCCUGAUUGGCAGAUGAGCGGCAACCCUGAUUACAAGCACCUGCUGCUCAUCGGUUCUUUACAAAAUGCUGUUUUGAAUUAGAAUAAAGUUGUACCUAAACACCGAAGAAGGCUGUAAAGAAAGUCAGACCAACAAGAUCAACAAGAGAAUGGGUGGAGAUAAAUCAAAAAACCGAGUGGAUAAGGCAGA
Salmo salar (Atlantic salmon) is the source of this 348-nucleotide non-coding RNA. The record is from RefSeq and is a predicted model, not a curated record. Lineage: Eukaryota; Metazoa; Chordata; Actinopteri; Salmoniformes; Salmonidae.